This 459-nucleotide ribosomal RNA is filed under the name uncultured bacterium. RNAcentral's name for it is "partial 16S ribosomal RNA". It matches the Rfam family "Bacterial small subunit ribosomal RNA", at positions 338 to 795 of the family's 1533-position model. The record is from RNAcentral.
CCUACGGGUGGCUGCAGUGAGGAAUAUUGGUCAAUGGGCGGAAGCCUGAACCAGCCAAGUAGCGUGCAGGAUGACGGCCCUACGGGUUGUAAACUGCUUUUAUCCGGGAACAACGCGCCCUACGCGUAGCGUUCCGCAUGUACCGGAAGAAAAAGGAUCGGCUAAUUCCGUGCCAGCAGCCGCGGUAAUACGGAGGGUGCGGGCGUUAUCCGGAUUUUUUGGGUUUAAAGGGGGCGCAGGCGGAAGGUCAAGCGAGCGGUAAAAUUGCGGGGCUCAACCGGGCCCAGCCGUGGAAACUGGCGUGCUUGAGUCCGCGAGAAGCAGGCGGAAUGCGUGGUGUAGCGGUGAAAUGCAUAGAUAUCACGCAGAACUCCGAUUGCGAAGGCAGCAUACCGGCGCCCAACUGACGCUCAGGCACGAAAGCGUGGGUAUCGAACAGGAUUAGAUACCCGAGUAGUC